This 430-nucleotide ribosomal RNA is filed under the name Escherichia coli. RNAcentral's name for it is "bacterial SSU rRNA". It matches the Rfam family "Bacterial small subunit ribosomal RNA", at positions 1 to 425 of the family's 1533-position model. Lineage: Bacteria; Pseudomonadati; Pseudomonadota; Gammaproteobacteria; Enterobacterales; Enterobacteriaceae. The record is from RNAcentral.
UUAAAUUGAAGAGUUUGAUCAUGGCUCAGAUUGAACGCUGGCGGCAGGCCUAACACAUGCAAGUCGAACGGUAACAGAAAGAAGCUUGCUUCUUUGCUGACGAGUGGCGGACGGGUGAGUAAUGUCUGGGAAACUGCCUGAUGGAGGGGGAUAACUACUGGAAACGGUAGCUAAUACCGCAUAACGUCGCAAGACCAAAGAGGGGGACCUUCGGGCCUCUUGCCAUCGGAUGUGCCCAGAUGGGAUUAGCUUGUUGGUGGGGUAACGGCUCACCAAGGCGACGAUCCCUAGCUGGUCUGAGAGGAUGACCAGCCACACUGGAACUGAGACACGGUCCAGACUCCUACGGGAGGCAGCAGUGGGGAAUAUUGCACAAUGGGCGCAAGCCUGAUGCAGCCAUGCCGCGUGUAUGAAGAAGGCCUUCGGGUUG